GAUGAAGAACGUAGCGAAAUGCGAUAAGUAAUGUGAAUUGCAGAAUUCAGUGAAUCAUCGAAUCUUUGAACGCACCUUGCGCCCUUUGGACAUUCCGAAGGGCAUGCCUGUUUGAGUAUCAUGAACACCUCAACUCUCACGGCUUGUCCGUGAUGAGCUUGGACUUUGGGGGUCUUGCCGGCCUGUGGUCGGCUCCUCUCAAAUGGAUCAGCUUGCCAGUGUUUGGUGGCAUCACAGGUGUGAUAACUAUCUGCGCUUGUGGUUUUCCAUCAGAUAACCUUCAGUGAUAUGGAGGUUCGCUGGAGCUCACAAAUGUCUCUCCUUAGUGAGGACAGCUCUUUGAACGUUUGAUCUCAAAUCAGGUAGGACUACCCGCUGAACUUAAGCAUAUCAAUAAGCGAGGA
RNAcentral lists this unclassified non-coding RNA (404 nucleotides) under soil metagenome. RNAcentral's name for it is "partial contains 5.8S ribosomal RNA, internal transcribed spacer 2, and large subunit ribosomal RNA". The stretch from base 1 to 121 matches the Rfam family "5.8S ribosomal RNA", at positions 35 to 154 of the family's 154-position model. The record is from RNAcentral.